CGCCUACGGGAGGCAGCAGUGAGGAAUAUUGGUCAAUGGACGAGAGUCUGAACCAGCCAAGUCGCGUGAAGGAUGACUGCCCUAUGGGUUGUAAACUUCUUUUAUAUGGGAAUAAAAUGUUCCACGAGUGGGAUUUUGUAUGUAUCAUAUGAAUAAGGAUCGGCUAACUCCGUGCCAGCAGCCGCGGUAAUACGGAGGAUCCGAGCGUUAUCCGGAUUUAUUGGGUUUAAAGGGAGCGUAGGUGGAUUGUCAAGUCAGUUGUGAAAGUUUGCGGCUCAACCGCUA
RNAcentral lists this ribosomal RNA (285 nucleotides) under uncultured bacterium. Its description in RNAcentral is "partial 16S ribosomal RNA". It matches the Rfam family "Bacterial small subunit ribosomal RNA", at positions 336 to 618 of the family's 1533-position model. The record is from RNAcentral.